CCUACGGGGGGCAGCAGUGAGGAAUAUUGGUCAAUGGACGAGAGUCUGAACCAGCCAAGUCGCGUGAAGGAUGACUGCCCUAUGGGUUGUAAACUUCUUUUAUAAAGGAAUAAAACGAGGCACGUGUGCCUUUUUGCGUGUACUUUAUGAAUAAGGAUCGGCUAACUCCGUGCCAGCAGCCGCGGUAAUACGGAGGAUCCGAGCGUUAUCCGGAUUUAUUGGGUUUAAAGGGAGCGUAGAUGGGUUGUUAAGUCAGUUGUGAAAGUUUGCGGCUCAACCGUAAAAUUGCAAUUGAUACUGGCAGUCUUGAGUACAGGUGAGGUAAGCGGAAUUCGUGGUGUAGCGGUGAAAUGCUUAGAUAUCGCGCAGAACCCCGAUUGCGAAGGCAGCUUACUAAACUGGGACUGACAUUGAUGCACGAAAGUGUGGGUAUCGAACAGGAUUAGAUACCCCUGUAGUC
This 460-nucleotide ribosomal RNA is filed under the name uncultured bacterium. Its description in RNAcentral is "partial 16S ribosomal RNA". It matches the Rfam family "Bacterial small subunit ribosomal RNA", at positions 338 to 795 of the family's 1533-position model. The record is from RNAcentral.